AGAGUUUGAUCCUGGCUCAGAUUGAACGCUGGCGGCGUGCCUAACACAUGCAAGUCGAGCGGUAACAGGUGUAGCAAUACAUGCUGACGAGCGGCGAACGGGUGAGUAAUGCUUUGGAAUCUUCCCAGUAGUGGGGAAUAACCAGUCGAAAGAUUGGCUAAUACCGCAUACGUCUGUAAAGGGAAAGCGGGGGCUCGUAAGACCUCGCGCUAUUGGAUGAGCCAAAGUCGGAUUAGCUAGUUGGUGGGGUAAUGGCCUACCAAGGCGACAAUCCGUAGCUGGUCUGAGAGGACGACCAGCCACACCGGAACUGAGACACGGUCCGGACUCCUACGGGAGGCAGCAGUGGGGAAUAUUGGACAAUGGGGGAAACCCUGAUCCAGCGACGCCGCGUGUGUGAAGAAGGCCUGCGGGUUGUAAAGCACUUUUAGUGGGGACAAAAAGCUACGGAUUAAUACUCUGUGGUCUUGAUUUAACCCAAAGAAAAAGCACCGGCUAACUCUGUGCCAGCAGCCGCGGUAAUACAGAGGGUGCGAGCGUUAAUCGGAAUUACUGGGCGUAAAGCGCGCGUAGACGGUUUUGUAAGUCAGAUGUGAAAUCCCUGGGCUCAACCUGGGAACUGCAUUUGAAACUGCAUGGCUAGAGUAUCGAAGAGGGAAGUGGAAUUUCCGGUGUAGCGGUGAAAUGCGUAGAUAUCGGAAGGAACACCAGUGGCGAAAGCGACUUCCUGGUCGAAUACUGACGUUCAUGUGCGAAAGCGUGGGGAGCAAACAGGAUUAGAUACCCCCGUAGUCC
This 795-nucleotide ribosomal RNA is filed under the name uncultured bacterium. RNAcentral describes it as "bacterial SSU rRNA". It matches the Rfam family "Bacterial small subunit ribosomal RNA", at positions 8 to 796 of the family's 1533-position model. The record is from RNAcentral.